GGCUGGAGAGGUAGCUUAGUGGUAGAGUAUCUGCCAGGCAUGCAAAAUACUGUAGGUUCAAUUCCUACUAAGACA
Molecule: transfer RNA, 75 nt
Filed under: Marmota monax (woodchuck)
Lineage: Eukaryota; Metazoa; Chordata; Mammalia; Rodentia; Sciuridae
Description: tRNA.Ala
Rfam family: tRNA (bases 12-68)
About the family: Transfer RNA (tRNA) molecules are approximately 80 nucleotides in length. Their secondary structure includes four short double-helical elements and three loops (D, anti-codon, and T loops).
Source: RNAcentral